CCCGCACAAGCGGUGGAGCAUGUGGUUUAAUUCGAUGAUACGCGAAGGAACCUUACCUGGGCUCAAAUGUAUGUUGACGUAUUCUGAAAGGGAUACUUCUUCGGACAAUAUACAAGGUGCUGCAUGGUUGUCGUCAGCUCGUGCCGUGAGGUGUCGGGUUAAGUCCCAUAACGAGCGCAACCCCUAUCAUUAGUUGCCAUCAGGUCAAGCUGGGGACUCUAAUGAAACUGCCUACGCAAGUAGUGAGGAAGGUGGGGAUGACGUCAAAUCAGCACGGCCCUUACGUCCAGGGCUACACACGUGCUACAAUGGUCGGUACAAAGGGUUGCCAAGCCGCGAGGUGGAGCUAAUCCCAUAAAACCGAUCGUAGUCCGGAUCGCAGUCUGCAACUCGACUGCGUGAAGUCGGAAUCGCUAGUAAUCGUGAAUCAGAAUGUCACGGUGAAUACGUUCCCGGGCCUU
Molecule: ribosomal RNA, 461 nt
Filed under: uncultured Sphingobacteriales bacterium
Lineage: Bacteria; Pseudomonadati; Bacteroidota; Sphingobacteriia; Sphingobacteriales
Description: bacterial SSU rRNA
Rfam family: Bacterial small subunit ribosomal RNA
Source: RNAcentral